Molecule: long non-coding RNA, 879 nt
Organism: Syzygium oleosum
Lineage: Eukaryota; Viridiplantae; Streptophyta; Magnoliopsida; Myrtales; Myrtaceae
Exons: 2
Source: RefSeq, a predicted model, not a curated record
AAAAAGUGUCAUGUUUAGCAAAUGAGUCUCGAAUAAUUCAGUCAACUUGAGUUUCUUCAUUGCUAAGUGUAACUCAUAGGAAGCAAACAGAAAGCCAUAAUACAAGUGUAUGUGCUUGUGUAUGUUUGAACAAAUAGGUGUAUACUUUUAUGAGAUUUCCUCAGAGCUUGAGGUUUUCUGUAUCACUCUUGAGAGGGUCAGAUUAUGGAGCAUUCUUCUUGUAUUCGACAAGACUUAUUCUGUGACCUCUGGUCAGAAUGGAGCAAUUGCCCGAGUGAAACAAAUAUAUUAGGGUAAAACUGCUAUCCAUGAAAGCUAUGAUGUUGACAGUGCAGUAAAAAGUAACACCGUGAUUUUGCAUUUGGCUGUCCCAAUUGAGAGUCGAGUUUGUGGUUACCAAUUGUUCAAGGAUUUCAUGCAAAAAUUUAUCAAAAACGUAUAGAAGGAAAAGCAAGAAUUUUGCAAAUCCUGUGCAAGAGAUCUGAAAUCAUCCUUUUGAAGAUGAAGUGAGCCGCAUGGUAAUUGUGCAGCACUUCCUAAGUUUAAUAUUGUUGCCUAAACUCCCGUCUCAAGCAGUAAUCCAUUGCAAAGAUACCGUUGAUUUCUGCGGAAUAGGACAGUAAAGAUGCACAGUUCCUCUGCUGCUUGUUUUAAUGAUUAGUAUAUGAGAUUUUAGGUCUCACUCCCAAUGCAAGUGUGUUUAAUUUUAAAUUAUGUUACUUCCUUUCGUAAGCACACAUAAGCAAAUCAGGAAGAAAUGGGAAGACGUUACAUAAGUAUAUUAACCUACUGAGUUCAUUGAGAAGCGAUCAAGUGAUGGAUCCAGCAUCAUGGUUACUCUCAUGCUCUCUUACCUUUCGCUUGUGUACACCAGCAAAA